This 507-nucleotide ribosomal RNA is filed under the name uncultured bacterium. RNAcentral describes it as "partial 16S ribosomal RNA". It matches the Rfam family "Bacterial small subunit ribosomal RNA", at positions 29 to 507 of the family's 1533-position model. The record is from RNAcentral.
ACGAACGCUGGCGGCGUGCCUAAUACAUGCAAGUCGAACGCUUCUUUCCUCCCGAGUGCUUGCACUCACUUGGAAAGAGGAGUGGCGGACGGGUGAGUAACACGUGGGUAACCUACCCAUCAGAGGGGGAUAACACUUGGAAACAGGUGCUAAUACCGCAUAACAGUUUAUGCCGCAUGGCAUAAGAGUGAAAGGCGCUUUCGGGUGUCGCUGAUGGAUGGACCCGCGGUGCAUUAGCUAGUUGGUGAGGUAACGGCUCACCAAGGCCACGAUGCAUAGCCGACCUGAGAGGGUGAUCGGCCACACUGGGACUGAGACACGGCCCAGACUCCUACGGGAGGCAGCAGUAGGGAAUCUUCGGCAAUGGACGAAAGUCUGACCGAGCAACGCCGCGUGAGUGAAGAAGGUUUUCGGAUCGUAAAACUCUGUUGUUAGAGAAGAACAAGGACGUUAGUAACUGAACGUCCCCUGACGGUAUCUAACCAGAAAGCCACGGCUAACUACGUG